AGAAAGAUAGAACUGAGCAGCAGUCGAAGAUAGGAACUGGUUAAAUCCACACACAACUUACAAAAUAUUCUUUUUAUUAAAAAAAAUAAAAUGUUUAAGAAAGAAUAGCAAUUACUGCUUUUCCAUUCUAACAGGAGCAACACUGGU
Perognathus longimembris pacificus (Pacific pocket mouse) is the source of this 147-nucleotide long non-coding RNA. RefSeq lists it as uncharacterized. The transcript has 3 exons. The record is from RefSeq and is a predicted model, not a curated record. Lineage: Eukaryota; Metazoa; Chordata; Mammalia; Rodentia; Heteromyidae.